AACGAACGCUGGCGGCAUGCCUAACACAUGCAAGUCGAACGAGACCUUCGGGUCUAGUGGCGCACGGGUGCGUAACGCGUGGGAACCUGCCCUUAGGUUCGGAAUAACUCCCCGAAAGGGGUGCUAAUACCGGAUAAUGUCUUCGGACCAAAGAUUUAUCGCCUUUGGAUGGGCCCGCGUUGGAUUAGCUAGUUGGUAGGGUAAAAGCCUACCAAGGCGACGAUCCAUAGCUGGUCUGAGAGGAUGAUCAGCCACACUGGGACUGAGACACGGCCCAGACUCCUACGGGAGGCAGCAGUGGGGAAUAUUGGACAAUGGGCGAAAGCCUGAUCCAGCAAUGCCGCGUGAGUGAUGAAGGCCUUAGGGUUGUAAAGCUCUUUUACCCGGGAUGAUAAUGACAGUACCGGGAGAAUAAGCUCCGGCUAGCUCCGU
Molecule: ribosomal RNA, 432 nt
Filed under: uncultured bacterium
Lineage: Bacteria
Description: partial 16S ribosomal RNA
Rfam family: Bacterial small subunit ribosomal RNA
Source: RNAcentral